AGGGAACGUACCCUUUUGGUUACGGAACAAACCCAGGGAAACUUAGGGCUAAUAACCCGAUAAGUCCGUAAGGAGAAAGAUUUAUCGCCAAAGGAUCGGCCCGCGUCUGAUUAGCUAGUUGGUAGGGUAAUGGCCUACCAAGGCUACGAUCAGUAGCUGGUCUGAGAGGAUGAUCAGCCACAUUGGGACUGAGACACGGCCCAAACUCCUACGGGAGGCAG
This 221-nucleotide ribosomal RNA is filed under the name uncultured bacterium. RNAcentral's name for it is "partial 16S ribosomal RNA". It matches the Rfam family "Bacterial small subunit ribosomal RNA", at positions 119 to 351 of the family's 1533-position model. The record is from RNAcentral.